ACAUAUACUGAAUGUGUGUUAGGAUUUUUAAUGCAGAAGAAAAAAACAUAUAUAUAUAUAUUUUGUUUUAUAGAAAAAAGUUCCAUGCAAUAUGUGUAGGGUUCUGAAUUGUUUUAGCAGUUAGCAUCAGGCUUCAGGCCGAUAAGACUCACCCCUGAACGGGAAAAUAGUGAGCGUGGUUAGCGGGUAAUGCUAAUGCUAAAUUCAAUUUAUCUUUGACUACUCCAGUAUAUCCAUGUCUGGCACAAGUUAAAAACAAUGUCUUGCCUACUGUACAGUUUGUAAUAGUGAUUUUAGGAUUGCCCAGGGGUAACUACAGGAUUGCAAAAGGCAUGUUGAGAAAACUAUGGCGAGGUCUAUGAUGAUAUCAUACCUGCUGAAGAGAGCCCACACAUUACAACAGGUUCUUGAGUCUUAUCUGGC
This is a long non-coding RNA of Astyanax mexicanus (Mexican tetra), 423 nucleotides long. RefSeq lists it as uncharacterized. Lineage: Eukaryota; Metazoa; Chordata; Actinopteri; Characiformes; Acestrorhamphidae. The record is from RefSeq and is a predicted model, not a curated record. The transcript is spliced from 3 exons.